AAAAAAUAAAAAGAAAAGGGAAGCAGUUUUGUUCAGUGAGUUGGCAUUAUUGCUAUUGGUUGUUUUUUUCCUUCUUCUUUGCUCUCA
This 87-nucleotide non-coding RNA is filed under the name Heterosigma akashiwo. The record is from RNAcentral. Lineage: Eukaryota; Raphidophyceae; Chattonellales; Chattonellaceae.